RNAcentral lists this ribosomal RNA (636 nucleotides) under uncultured fungus. Its description in RNAcentral is "partial 18S ribosomal RNA". The record is from RNAcentral. Lineage: Eukaryota; Fungi.
CGUGACGCGAAAUAUAUAGGUAUUUCCACAGCCCAUUUGAGAGCUCACCUUCCAUACCACCUAACAGUGCAGAUUAAUUACCUGCGGUGGUGUACUCGUAACGGACAGCCGUUCACUCGUGAACUCCUGCGAACCUGUCAAAGGCGGCGUGUGCUUCUGACUGGUUAAGAUAUGUGUUUUUAUUUGUACCGUAAACCAUCCAAUAGUGAUCCUCCUUCCGUAGGUGAACCUGCGGAAGGAUCAUUAGUGGAAAGUUUACUUUACACUUAAACCAAACAUAUGUGAACCAAUCAUUAGUUCUUGAACGCCCAAGCCGAUCCUCAGUUGUGAGACAAGAUUUUGUUAUGUUAGAGUAAGUUACGACACACAGGUUCUAAACCACUGCAAAUUGCUUACCUGGCGAACCCUAGAGAUCGUAAGGGGAGAGUUAUAAGGCGAUAUAGGCAAUCAUUUAAGAUCAUUUCCGUAGGUGAACCUGCGGAAGGAUCAUUAGUGAUUGCCUUUAUAGUUCCGUAGGUGAACCCACGGACACAUCAGAAACGUAAUAUUAUUACACACAAGUUGAGUAUUUUAAAAAACAAUGAGUAAAAAACGUUGUUUUACUAUGAAAUUAAUAAAACUCAACAACGGUUCGUC